RNAcentral lists this ribosomal RNA (253 nucleotides) under uncultured bacterium. RNAcentral's name for it is "partial 16S ribosomal RNA". It matches the Rfam family "Bacterial small subunit ribosomal RNA", at positions 524 to 776 of the family's 1533-position model. The record is from RNAcentral.
UACGUAGGGCGCAAGCGUUAUCCGGAAUUAUUGGGCGUAAAGAGCUCGUAGGCGGUUUGUCGCGUCUGCCGUGAAAGUCCGGGGCUCAACUCCGGAUCUGCGGUGGGUACGGGCAGACUAGAGUGAUGUAGGGGAGACUGGAAUUCCUGGUGUAGCGGUGAAAUGCGCAGAUAUCAGGAGGAACACCGAUGGCGAAAGCGACCUUCUGGGACAGUCCUGACGCUGAGGUGCGAAAGCUCGGGGAGCAAACAGG